RNAcentral lists this ribosomal RNA (927 nucleotides) under Solimonas fluminis. RNAcentral describes it as "Bacterial small subunit ribosomal RNA". It matches the Rfam family "Bacterial small subunit ribosomal RNA", at positions 1 to 932 of the family's 1533-position model. The record is from Rfam by way of RNAcentral. Lineage: Bacteria; Pseudomonadati; Pseudomonadota; Gammaproteobacteria; Nevskiales; Nevskiaceae.
UAAUUGGAGAGUUUGAUCCUGGCUCAGAUUGAACGCUGGCGGCAUGCCUAACACAUGCAAGUCGAGCGGGGUGUAGCAAUACAUCCAGCGGCGGACGGGUGAGGAAUACGUAGGAAUUUGCCUUAGAGCGGGGGAUAGCCCAGGGAAACUUGGAGUAAUACCGCAUGAUGUCGAAAGACCAAAGCAGGGGACCGCAAGGCCUUGCACUCUAAGAGAAGCCUACGUCUGAUUAGCUAGUUGGUGAGGUAAUGGCUCACCAAGGCGACGAUCAGUAACUGGUCUGAGAGGACGAUCAGUCACACUGGAACUGAGACACGGUCCAGACUCCUACGGGAGGCAGCAGUGGGGAAUAUUGGACAAUGGGCGCAAGCCUGAUCCAGCAAUGCCGCGUGUGUGAAGAAGGCCUUCGGGUUGUAAAGCACUUUAAGCAGGGAAGAAAAAACUCGGACUAACAUUUCGAGUCUUGACGGUACCUGAAGAAUAAGCACCGGCUAACUCUGUGCCAGCAGCCGCGGUAAUACAGAGGGUGCGAGCGUUAAUCGGAUUUACUGGGCGUAAAGGGUGUGUAGGUGGUUUGACAAGUCGGUUGUGAAAUCCCCGGGCUUAACCUGGGAACUGCUUCCGAGACUGUUUGACUAGAGUACGGUAGAGGGCGGUGGAAUUUCCGGUGUAGCGGUGAAAUGCGUAGAUAUCGGAAGGAACACCAAUGGCGAAGGCAGCCGCCUGGGCCUGUACUGACACUGAAACACGAAAGCGUGGGGAUCAAACAGGAUUAGAUACCCUGGUAGUCCACGCCGUAAACGAUGGACACUUGACGUCGGCAUGCUCUGCGUGUCGGUGUCGUAGCUAACGCGAUAAGUGUCCCGCCUGGGGAGUACGGCCGCAAGGUUGAAACUCAAAGGAAUUGACGGGGGCCCGCACAAGCGG